GAUGAACGCUGGCGGCGUGCCUAAUACAUGCAAGUCGAACGAAGUACAAGAAGCUUGCUUCUUGUAACUGAGUGGCGAACGGGUAAGUAAUACAUAAGCAACCUGCCUUAAUGCCUGGGAUAACAGUUGGAAACGAUUGCUAAUACCGGAUAAUUUCUUGAGGUCGCAUGGCCAUGGGGUAAAAGAAAUUCGGUUUGGGGUGAGCUCGCGUCCGAUUAGCUAGUUGGUGAGGUAACGGCCCACCAAGGCGACGAUCGGUAGCCGACCUGAGAGGGUGAUCGGCCACAUUGGAACUGAGACACGGUCCAA
RNAcentral lists this ribosomal RNA (309 nucleotides) under uncultured bacterium. RNAcentral describes it as "bacterial SSU rRNA". It matches the Rfam family "Bacterial small subunit ribosomal RNA", at positions 28 to 334 of the family's 1533-position model. The record is from RNAcentral.